ACAAGAAAAAGAAAAGAAGAAACUGAUUGUGCCAAAAAGGGCCAAGGCCACACACAGCCUGUUCCCUGUACAACUGCACCCAAUGUGUGCCCAAGGACAAGGCCAUUAAGUUCGUCAUUAAAAACAAAGUAGAGGCCAUAGCCAUCAGGGCCAUUUCUGAAGUGAGUGUCUUUAACACCUGUGCUUCCCAGCUGUAUGAGAAACUGCAUUGUGAUAUGAGUUGUGCCAUUCAUGGAAAAGUAGUCAGGAGUCAUUCUCAUGAAGCCCAGAAGGAUCCAAUACCCCUCCCUGAUUUAGACCUAAUGGUGCUGUUCCAUGACCUCCGCGAAAGCCCGUAUAA
RNAcentral lists this long non-coding RNA (340 nucleotides) under Homo sapiens (human). RNAcentral's name for it is "non-protein coding lnc-YEATS4-3:1". Lineage: Eukaryota; Metazoa; Chordata; Mammalia; Primates; Hominidae. The record is from RNAcentral.